UGGCAACGUAUUCUCAUGGUGAGAAUGUCUGACUGUUAAUCAGAAUGCGCUUGGUUCGAUUCCAAGGUUGCCAG
Molecule: transfer RNA, 74 nt
Filed under: Pseudomonas phage vB_PaeM_M1
Lineage: Duplodnaviria; Heunggongvirae; Uroviricota; Caudoviricetes; Andersonviridae
Description: tRNA-Asn
Rfam family: tRNA
About the family: Transfer RNA (tRNA) molecules are approximately 80 nucleotides in length. Their secondary structure includes four short double-helical elements and three loops (D, anti-codon, and T loops). Further hydrogen bonds mediate the characteristic L-shaped molecular structure. tRNAs have two regions of fundamental functional importance: the anti-codon, which is responsible for specific mRNA codon recognition, and the 3' end, to which the tRNAs corresponding amino acid is attached (by aminoacyl-tRNA synthetases). tRNAs cope with the degeneracy of the genetic code in two manners: having more than one tRNA (with a specific anti-codon) for a particular amino acid; and 'wobble' base-pairing, i.e. permitting non-standard base-pairing at the 3rd anti-codon position.
Source: RNAcentral